This is a long non-coding RNA of Homo sapiens (human), 1593 nucleotides long. RefSeq lists it as uncharacterized. The record is from RefSeq and is a predicted model, not a curated record. The transcript has 4 exons. NCBI's taxonomy places the organism in Eukaryota, Metazoa, Chordata, Mammalia, Primates, Hominidae.
AAGGGAAUAAAAGCAGGCCAUCAGAGCCAGCCAUGGCAACGUGGUGUGGUCUGCUUCUGCACUGUGGAAGCUUUGUUCUUUGGCUCUUCACAGUGAAUCUUCCUAUUGCCUACUCUUCGGGUCUGUGCCACUUUUAUGAGCUGUAACACUCAUUGGGAAGUUCUGCAGUUUCACUCCUGAGGCCAGCAAGACCACGAACCCACUGGAAGGAAUGAACAGCUCCAGACCUGCCACCUUUAAGAGCUGUAACACUCACCUCGAAGGUCUGCAGCUUCACUUGUGAAGUGAGCGAGACCACGAACCCACCCAAAGGAAGAAACUCUGGACACAUCUGAAGGAACGAACUCCAGACACACCUUAUCUAAGAACUGUAACACUUACCGCGAGGGUCCGCAGCUUCAGUCUGGAAGUCAGCGAGACCAAGAACCGACCAAUUCCGGACACAUUAGGGUACAAAUAAUUUUUAAGGAGCUGAUUAAAUACAUUACUACUUACAUAAAAUAUUAGGAUAAAAAUAAAUCUACCUGGCAACACAGCGUUGUGAAACUGUAGAAUGGCAAGAAGAAGAAAAAGACAGCAUGGAAGCCUUUCCAGUUGUGAGUAAUUUGCUGAUUCAUUGUCAAGAGGAGACAAAUGAAACAAAAGGGAAAAUUCGUGUGCUGCUUAAACACAGAAUGAACGAGCUUUGUGGACUACUGGGCCCAGCUGAAUGGUUCUCACCUGAGGUCUGUCAUGUAGUAGAGGAAGCUGCAGUCAGCAGAAGGCAUGACUGAUUGCAUGCCAAAAAUGGCUCAGUCACAUGGGUGGAAUUUGAUGCCAGUUCCUGGUUGAGAGCUCAGCUAUGGCUAUUGACUGGAUAUCUACACAGGGCUGUCCUCGUGGCAUGGGAGUCUCACAAUGACAACUGAGUUCUCAGAAGGAGAGUGCCUACAGCAGGCACUCCAAAAGAGGGCACUCCCAGACCAAGAGAUGGAUUAGCUGUUUGCCACACUCCUUUUUAUUGCUAGUCUCCACGUCUUAACCUAUGAGAGACUGUAUAACUGAGCUGUAGAUGAAAUAAGGUGGGCCAAAGCAAUAUAUGCCACAAGGAAUACCCACAAGCAUGACUUACGUUAGUUUUCCUGCUCGACUCUAGGAAAUAAAGCAGAACAUAGACUCAGCUGCUCCACCAGCCCCAGUGUCCACCUACCUGGAACUCCCAUAGGUAUUAAAUAGGUGAACAUUAAAAACUUUCAGUUUGCUGAUCCAUUAUAUUUCUGAGUACACUUGUUGUUCAGCCUCACCUACCCCAAUGAAUAUAUGAUAUCAGACAUAUUAAAAGACAUCUGGAUUCUGUAUUAAACUAUUUUCUAUCCAAGUUUUAAAAGAGUAUCUCUAUGAUUUCAAAAAUAUGUUUGAAUGAAUAUCUUUAAUAUACAAUUGGCUAUAUGCUAUCUGUAAUUAUACCAUAAGCCUGGGAAUUUUUGUUAUGUAAAAGUUUAAAUGACAAAAUCCUGACAGAUUUAAUUAGGUUUUUGUGAAUGUUAAGUUGACAGCUAUAGGCAACAAUAUUUCAUUAAAGAGAUAUUUAAAUAAAUGUUAAUUUUGAUUUUA